Molecule: non-coding RNA, 676 nt
Organism: Biomphalaria pfeifferi
Lineage: Eukaryota; Metazoa; Mollusca; Gastropoda; Planorbidae
Source: the annotation of a GenBank genome assembly
UUCAUUAUUGACUUUGUUCAUUAUUGACUUUGUUCAUUGUUGACUAUGUUCAUUGUUGACUAUGUUCAUUAUUGACUAUGUUAAUUAUUGACUUUGUUCAUUGUUGACUAUGUUCAUUGUUGACUAUGUUCAUUGUUGACUAUGUUCAUUGUUGACUAUGUUCAUUGUUGACUAUGUUUAUUUACCUUGUUCAUUGAUUUCGUUCAUUUUGUAUUGUUUACUCACUACUUCGACUGACCUGUUGCGUCUUAUAGAACACGAAUAGCAAUCUACCUAUUCUACCUAUUAUAUUACUUUGUAUUUUACGUAUUUAUAAAUUACGGUUCAAUGUUUUUAUAAUUUAUGUAUAAUCUUUUCUUUAUUAUUUUUUUUAGUUUUCUGCCGUGUUGCUGUAAUCACAGUUUGUUAUUAACCUCUCUCUCUCUCUCUCUCUCUCUCUCUCUCUCUCUCUCACUCAGUAACUCACUCAUACACACAGUAGCACGCACGCUCGCACAGGCAGCUUGUUAUCCACCGUUCUUCAGUCUCUAGGCAAGGGGCUGGCUUGUCCAGGAAAACAUCUAGAAGCUUUGCGAACUGCGUUUUGGUUUUUAGCUCGCUGGAAAAGUGUGCCUAACCUUUCUGUACUGCGCUAUCAGCACUCGCGAUCAAGUUCAAGGGCGCGGCCAAAUGCAAC